GUUUUUAAGGUGUUAUAACAUAUUACAUUUUCGCUGUAAAGUUGAAGAAUUUCUUCUAAAAAUG
RNAcentral lists this transfer RNA (64 nucleotides) under Procambarus alleni. RNAcentral describes it as "tRNA-Glu". The record is from RNAcentral. Lineage: Eukaryota; Metazoa; Arthropoda; Malacostraca; Decapoda; Cambaridae.